CCACCAGCCACUAAGAGGACCCGUCCACACACAGGUAAACACUUAGCAAGCCACCAGCCACUAAGAGGACCCGUCCACACACAGGUAAACACUUAGCAAGCCACCAGCCACUAAGAGGACCCGUCCACACACAGGUAAACACUUAGCAAGCCACCAGCCACUAAGAGGACCCGUCCACACACAGGUAAACACUUAGCAAGCCACCAGCCACUAAGAGGACCCGUCCACACACAGGUAAACACUUAGCAAGCCACCAGCCACUAAGAGGACCCGUCCACACACAGGUAAACACUUAGCAAGCCACCAGCCACUAAGAGGACCCGUCCACACACAGGUAAACACUUAGCAAGCCACCAGCCACUAAGAGGACCCGUCCACACACAGGUAAACACUUAGCAAGCCACCAGCCACUAAGAGGACCCGUCCACACACAG
Oncorhynchus keta (chum salmon) is the source of this 434-nucleotide long non-coding RNA. RefSeq lists it as uncharacterized. NCBI's taxonomy places the organism in Eukaryota, Metazoa, Chordata, Actinopteri, Salmoniformes, Salmonidae. The transcript is spliced from 4 exons. The record is from RefSeq and is a predicted model, not a curated record.